GACGAACGCUGGCGGCGUGCUUAACACAUGCGAGUCGAACGGAAAGGCCCUGCUUUCGUGGGGUGCUCGAGUGGCGAACGGGUGAGUAACACGUGAGUAACCUGCCCUUGACUUUGGGAUAACUUCAGGAAACUGGGGCUAAUACCGGAUAGGAGCUCCUGCUGCAUGGUGGGGGUUGGAAAGUUUCGGCGGUUGGGGAUGGACUCGCGGCUUAUCAGCUUGUUGGUGGGGUAGUGGCUUACCAAGGCUUUGACGGGUAGCCGGCCUGAGAGGGUGACCGGCCACAUUGGGACUGAGAUACGGCCCAGACUCCUACGGGAGGCAGCAGUGGGGAAUAUUGCACAAUGGGCGGAAGCCUGAUGCAGCAACGCCGCGUGCGGGAUGACGGCCUUCGGGUUGUAAACCGCUUUCACCUGUGACGAAGCGUGAGUGACGGUAAUGGGUAAAGAAGCACCGGCUAACUACGUG
RNAcentral lists this ribosomal RNA (468 nucleotides) under uncultured bacterium. RNAcentral's name for it is "partial 16S ribosomal RNA". It matches the Rfam family "Bacterial small subunit ribosomal RNA", at positions 28 to 507 of the family's 1533-position model. The record is from RNAcentral.